This 1204-nucleotide long non-coding RNA is filed under the name Cricetulus griseus (Chinese hamster). RNAcentral's name for it is "lncRNA (ENSCGRG00015040082.1)". Lineage: Eukaryota; Metazoa; Chordata; Mammalia; Rodentia; Cricetidae. The record is from RNAcentral.
UAACCCUCCCGGCUCUGGUUUGCAAACUGAAAGGAGGUUUAACCCCUUAAGACUUCCCCGGCCCUAAAUGCUUGCCAGGAACACAGAGCUGAACAGCAUCUUGGGGUGGGGGUGGGGUUACCAUCCUUCUACCACCCCCGAGUCCUUCUGCUCCGCGGAGGCUUUUCGAAAGCUGUGUUUUUAAUAGAGCUUUUCAGCAAGCCCAAGUGUAAGGCUUUGAGUCAUCAAAACCCGGAUGUAAACACAGCAGCCCUACAUUCUGCACAGUUUGCGUGUAUUUUAUCUUUUUAAUAAUAUUUAGCUGGCAACUUAAAACUGCAAGCAUGCCAGAUAUUUUAGCCAGCCACUUACAUCAUGCAGCCUCCAUCUUAGGGAGAGUAGUUGCCUGUCCUUGCCUUGUUUCUCAGGUCCCCGCCCCACACUGCAGGCAGUCUGGGUCCUUCUGCAGGAAGGCAUUUUGCUGCAGCUUAGCAAAUCCAGCCCCUUAGAACAUGACAUCAGCUUGGGCAACAAAGAUAGAGGACGGGUUCCUGUCAGAGACAAGACAUUGGGCCCUGGAGCUGAUGGAAGACUGCAGAAGGCUCCUCUCUUUGGAGAAUGGAGUCUCUCAUCCUGUGUCCUGACCAGGCCCAACCCUGCUUAGCUCCUAAGAUGGAGCACAUACUGGGUAGCAUAACUGUAGAUGAGGAUGGACUUCCAAAGCGUACCCAUGGCUAUUAAUUGUUGCUAUGUGUCUGAGGGGCCUUCAGUCCUGCUGAAAGGGCAUAGGCUCUCAAAAUCUCAGAAUAAUCAGCCAGCGUGGAGUCAGGCCAGCCGCUGCCACUAUUCUAAAACCAAGUAGAGCAGUAACUCCAUUAACCCCAGCUUCCACCCUGCAGCCCCAGAUGAUAAUAAUAUCAGGGCUCCAGCUCCCCUGCCCUGCCACCCCAACCAAGGGAGCUUGGUGACAGUUGUGCUGACAGCAGCUGAGGGCCUCAGCUGCCUAAAAAGCCAUUUGCUCAGCUCUGCCCCGUCUGGCCAACAUCUACAUAUUUAAAGGACUCUGGUGAGCCUCCCAGGCCCCCUUCCUCAUCUGAAUCCACAGGCAGGGACACCAUUUUUAGGAGGGCAUGGAAUUUACAAGGAGACCGACACUCCCUUUUUUGCUUCUAGCAGAGCCAUUGUCACCUCCCAGGAGUAAUCCAGAGCCAUUGGCAAAUUAAGG